UACGGAGGGGGCUAGCGUUGUUCGGAAUUACUGGGCGUAAAGCGCGCGUAGGCGGACCUGCAAGUCGGGGGUGAAAGCCCGAGGCUCAACCUCGGAACUGCCUUCGAUACUGCGGGUCUCGAGUCCGGGAGAGGUGAGUGGAAUUCCUAGUGUAGAGGUGAAAUUCGUAGAUAAUAGGAAGAACACCAGUGGCGAAGGCGGCUCACUGGCCCGGUACUGACGCUGAGGCGCGAAAGCGUGGGGAGCAAACAGG
RNAcentral lists this ribosomal RNA (253 nucleotides) under uncultured bacterium. RNAcentral's name for it is "partial 16S ribosomal RNA". It matches the Rfam family "Bacterial small subunit ribosomal RNA", at positions 524 to 776 of the family's 1533-position model. The record is from RNAcentral.